RNAcentral lists this ribosomal RNA (465 nucleotides) under Vreelandella stevensii. RNAcentral's name for it is "partial 16S ribosomal RNA". It matches the Rfam family "Bacterial small subunit ribosomal RNA", at positions 338 to 795 of the family's 1533-position model. Lineage: Bacteria; Pseudomonadati; Pseudomonadota; Gammaproteobacteria; Oceanospirillales; Halomonadaceae. The record is from RNAcentral.
CCUACGGGUGGCAGCAGUGGGGAAUAUUGGACAAUGGGCGAAAGCCUGAUCCAGCCAUGCCGCGUGUGUGAAGAAGGCCUUCGGGUUGUAAAGCACUUUCAGUGGGGAAGAAAGCCUUGGGGCUAAUACCCUCGAGGAAGGACAUCACCCACAGAAGAAGCACCGGCUAACUCCGUGCCAGCAGCCGCGGUAAUACGGAGGGUGCGAGCGUUAAUCGGAAUUACUGGGCGUAAAGCGCGCGUAGGCGGUCUGAUAAGCCGGUUGUGAAAGCCCCGGGCUCAACCUGGGAACGGCAUCCGGAACUGUCAGGCUAGAGUGCAGAGAAGGAAGGUAGAAUUCCCGGUGUAGCGGUGAAAUGCGUAGAGAUCGGGAGGAAUACCAGUGGCGAAGGCGGCCUUCUGGACUGACACUGACGCUGAGGUGCGAAAGCGUGGGUAGCAAACAGGAUUAGAUACCCCGGUAGUC